Molecule: ribosomal RNA, 812 nt
Filed under: uncultured bacterium
Lineage: Bacteria
Description: bacterial SSU rRNA
Rfam family: Bacterial small subunit ribosomal RNA
Source: RNAcentral
AGAGUUUGAUCCUGGCUCAGAACUAACGCUGGCGGCGUGCCUAACACAUGCAAGUCGUACGAGAAAGUUGGCUUCGGCUGAUGAGUAAAGUGGCGCACGGGUGAGUAACGCGUGGAUAAUCUGCCCUUUAGUUGGGAAUAACGUACCGAAAGGUGCGCUAAUACCGAAUAAUACUGAGUGACUACUGUUACUUAGUCAAAGAAGGCCUCUGUUUACAAGCUUUUGCUGAGGGAUGAGUCCGCGUACCAUUAGCUAGUUGGUAGGGUAAUGGCCUACCAAGGCUACGAUGGUUAGCUGGUCUGAGAGGAUGAUCAGCCACACUGGAACUGAGACACGGUCCAGACUCCUACGGGAGGCAGCAGUGAGGAAUAUUGCGCAAUGGGGGCAACCCUGACGCAGCAACGCCGCGUGAGUGAGGAAGGUUUUCGGACCGUAAAGCUCUGUCGAGUGGGAAGAAAUGUGUCAUGGCUAAUAUCCAUGAUACUUGACGGUACCGCUAAAGGAAGCACCGGCUAACUCCGUGCCAGCAGCCGCGGUAAUACGGGGGGUGCAAGCGUUGUUCGGAAUUAUUGGGCGUAAAGAGCGUGUAGGCGGCUGAAUAAGUCAGAUGUGAAAUCCCUGGGCUUAACCCAGGACGUGCAUUUGAAACUAUUCAGCUUGAGUAGGGGAGAGGAAAGUGGAAUUCCUGGUGUAGAGGUGAAAUUCGUAGAUAUCAGGAGGAACACCGGUGGCGAAGGCGACUUUCUGGCCCUAUACUGACGCUGAGACGCGAGAGCGUGGGUAGCAAACAGGAUUAGAUACCCUGGUAGUCC